UGGUGGAGUGAUUUGUCUGGUUAAUUCCGUUAACGAACGAGACCUCAGCCUGCUAAUUAAUUUCAACAAGGUUGAUUGUUAAAAUAUCUUAGAGGGACUCUCGGUUAUUAAUCAUGGAAGUCUGAGGUAAUAACA
RNAcentral lists this ribosomal RNA (135 nucleotides) under uncultured eukaryote. Its description in RNAcentral is "partial 18S ribosomal RNA". It matches the Rfam family "Eukaryotic small subunit ribosomal RNA", at positions 1299 to 1458 of the family's 1831-position model. The record is from RNAcentral.